This 1697-nucleotide ribosomal RNA is filed under the name Papulosa amerospora. Its description in RNAcentral is "SSU rRNA". It matches the Rfam family "Eukaryotic small subunit ribosomal RNA". The record is from RNAcentral. Lineage: Eukaryota; Fungi; Ascomycota; Sordariomycetes; Papulosaceae.
AUGCAUGUCUAAGUAUAAGCAAUUAUACGGCGAAACUGCGAAUGGCUCAUUAAAUCAGUUAUCGUUUAUUUGAUAGUACCUUACUACAAGGAUAACCGUGGUAAUUCUAGAGCUAAUACUUGCAAAAAAUCCCGACUUCGGAAGGGAUGUAUUUAUUAGAUUAAAAACCAAUGCCCUUCGGGGCUCUCUGGUGAUUCAUAAUAACUUCUCGAAUCGCAUGGCCUUGCGCCGGCGAUGGUUCAUUCAAAUUUCUGCCCUAUCAACUUUCGACGGCUGGGUCUUGGCCAGCCGUGGUGACAACGGGUAACGGAGAGUUAGGGCUCGACUCCGGAGAAGGAGCCUGAGAAACGGCUACUACAUCCAAGGAAGGCAGCAGGCGCGCAAAUUACCCAAUACCGACACGGUGAGGUAGUGACAAUAAAUACUGAUACAGGGCUCUUUUGGGUCUUGUAAUUGGAAUGAGUACAAUUUAAAUCCCUUAACGAGGAACAAUUGGAGGGCAAGUCUGGUGCCAGCAGCCGCGGUAAUUCCAGCUCCAAUAGCGUAUAUUAAAGUUGUUGCGGUUAAAAAGCUCGUAGUUGAACCUUGGGCCUGGCUGGCCGGUCCGCCUCACCGCGUGCACUGGUCCGGCCGGGCCUUUCCCUCUGGGGAACCGCAUGCCCUUCACUGGGUGUGUCGGGGAACCAGGACUUUUACUUUGAAAAAAUUAGAGUGUUCAAAGCAGGCCUAUGCUCGGAUACAUUAGCAUGGAAUAAUAGAAUAGGACGUGCGGUUCUAUUUUGUUGGUUUCUAGGACCGCCGUAAUGAUUAAUAGGGACAGUCGGGGGCAUCAGUAUUCAAUUGUCAGAGGUGAAAUUCUUGGAUUUAUUGAAGACUAACUACUGCGAAAGCAUUUGCCAAGGAUGUUUUCAUUAAUCAGGAACGAAAGUUAGGGGAUCGAAGACGAUCAGAUACCGUCGUAGUCUUAACCAUAAACUAUGCCAACUAGGGAUCGGACGAUGUUAUUUUUUGACUCGUUCGGCACCUUACACGAAAGUACAAGUUUUUGGGUUCCGGGGGGAGUAUGGUCGCAAGGCUGAAACUUAAAGAAAUUGACGGAAGGGCACCACCAGGAGUGGAGCCUGCGGCUUAAUUUGACUCAACACGGGGAAACUCACCAGGUCCAGACACGAUGAGGAUUGACAGAUUGAGAGCUCUUUCUUGAUUUCGUGGGUGGUGGUGCAUGGCCGUUCUUAGUUGGUGGAGUGAUUUGUCUGCCUAAUCGCGAUAACGAACGAGACCUUGACCUGCUAAAUAGCCCAUAUUGCUUUGGCAGUAUGCUGGCUUCUUAGAGGGACUAUCGGCUCAAGCCGAUGGAAGUUCGAGGCAAUAACAGGUCUGUGAUGCCCUUAGAUGUUCUGGGCCGCACGCGCGUUACACUGACAGAGCCAGCGAGUUCUUCCUUGGCUGAAAAGCCCGGGUAAUCUUGUUAAACUCUGUCGUGCUGGGGAUAGAGCAUUGCAAUUAUUGCUCUUCAACGAGGAAUUCCUAGUAAGCGUAAGUCAUCAACUUGCGCUGAUUACGUCCCUGCCCUUUGUACACACCGCCCGUCGCUACUACCGAUUGAAUGGCUCAGUGAGGCUUUCGGACUGGCCCAGAGAGGUGGGCAACUACCACUCAGGGCCGGAAAGUUAUCCAAACUCGGUCAUUUAGAGGAA